RNAcentral lists this ribosomal RNA (452 nucleotides) under uncultured bacterium. RNAcentral describes it as "bacterial SSU rRNA". It matches the Rfam family "Bacterial small subunit ribosomal RNA", at positions 340 to 782 of the family's 1533-position model. The record is from RNAcentral.
UACGGAAGGCAGCAGUGGGGAAUAUUGCACAAUGGGCGAAAGCCUGAUGCAGCUAUGCCGCGUGUAUGAAGAAGGCCUUAGGGUUGUAAAGUACUUUCAUCGGGGAGGAAAAAACAAAACUAAUAAUUUUAUUUCUUGACGUUACCCGAAAAAGAAGCACCGGCUAACUCCGUGCCAGCAGCCGCGGUAAUACGGAGGGUGCUAGCGUUAAUCAGAAUUACUGGGCGUAAAGAGCACGUAGGUGGUUUUUUUAAAGUCAGAUGUGAAAUCCCUGGGCUUAACCUAGGAACUGCAUUUUGAAACUGAAAUACUAGAGUAUCGUAGAGGGAGGUAGAAUUCUAGGUGUAGCGGUGAAAUGCGUAGAUAUCUGGAGGAAUACCUGUGGCGAAAGCGGCCUCCUAAACGAAUACUGACACUGAGUGCGAAAGCGUGGGGAGCAAACAGGGAUUAGA